CCUGCAUCCUCCCAGCAUCUCCGCAGGGCUAGCCCAGAGGUCGGCGGUGGAAGGCCCACAGCUCCCCUGGCUCCAUGGACAGUGGUGGAACAGCGCUUCACCUCUCUGGGCCUUGUUUUCUCAAACUGAAACUGGAGAGGAUGACCCCAGCCUGGGGCCUCAAAAGGGCUCUGGGCCUUGCAUGGUGAGUCUGGGCACCCACACACCCAUCUUCCCAAAUGCCAAGCUUCACUCACUACAGUGUCCUUUCUUUUCCCUUCAGUGUUUCUCAAACUUAUCCAAACCACAUCCCCAGCCUGGGAGGUCUGCUUCAGAUGCUCCUCCAAGAAGCCUCCUCUGAACCCCAGACAGAAGGGAGAGCGUCACUCCUGUGACCUCACCCCAGCCCAUCCUCUAUACACUCGAGACUGUUGUAGCCGUACUAGGUGCUAUGAAGGGGAGGGGAUCUGACCUUGGCAGGAUGAUCAGGGAAGGCAUCCUGGAGGAGGCAUGAGAUCAGGGAUGGCUGGAUUAACAGAGCAAAGUGGAAAGGAAGGGAGGGUAUUCCAGGCAGCAGGAACAGAAUGUGCAACUGCUGUGAGGCAGCUGGAAGUAUGGUCAGCAUAAAGAUUGGAAAUUAUGCACGUUUUAUCUAUUCCAAGAUGCUUAAUGUUCACAUUUCACUUUUUUAUUUUUUUUUAAGAGACAGAGUCUCAAUCUGUGACUUAAACUGGAGUGCAGUUACAAGAUCACAACUCACUGUAACUUCAACCUCCUGGGCUUAAGCAAUCCUCCUACUUCAGCCUCCUGAGUACUGGGACUACAGGUGUGUGCCACCACACCUGGCUAAUUCUUUUGCUUGUAUUUUGUAGAGACAGAGUCUCGCUAUGUUGGCUGGGCUGGUCUCGAGCUCCUAGGCUCAAGUGAUCCUUCCGCCUUGGCCUCCUGAAGUGCUGAGAUGACAGGGUGUGAGCUGCCACACGCAGUCCCCAUUCUACAUCUCUGAAGUGAGUUUACCUGGUACAGUUGCUGUCUGGCUAACUGCAGUCCCAACAUCACUGUCAGGACCCACGCCUCAAAAGCGCCAGCAUCAAAUCCUUCAGAAGAGUGUCAGCAGCUUGGAAGAAAUCCUAGAGCAAGUGGAGCCCUUUUUAGCCCUGGGACCCAAAUGGUGGGAAUCCCCAGGGAAAGGAAACCAGGCUUGUCAGUGUGUCAGUGACACUCCCUUUUUUUUUUUUUUUUUUUUUUUUGAGACGGAGUCUCGCUGUCUCCCAGGCUGGAGUGCAGUGGCAUGAUCUCGGCUCACUGCAAGCUCCGCCUCCGGGGUUCACGCCAUUCUCCCGCCUCAGCCUCCCAAGUAGCUAGGCACCCGCCACCAUGCCCGGCUGAUUUUUUGUAUUUUUAGUAAAGACGGGGUUUCACUGUGUUAGCCAGGAUGGUCUCGAUCUCCUGACCUCGUGAUCCGCCCACCUCGGCCUCCCAAAGUGCCGGGAUUACAGGCGUGAGCCACCACGUGCAGCCUUUUUUUUUUUUUUUUUGAGACAGUCUUGCUCUGCCUGUCACCCAGGCUGGAGUGCAGUGGUGCAAUCAAUCUCGGGUCACUGCAACCUCCAUCUCCCAGGUUCAAGCGAUUCUCCUGCCUCAGUCACUCAAGUAGCUGGGAUUACAGGCACCUGCCACCACACCCAGAUACUUUUUUGUAUUUUUAAUACAGACGGGGGUUUUCACCAUAUUGCCCAGGCUGGUCUCAAACUCCUGACCUCAAGUGACUCAGCCUCCCAAUGUUCUGCGAUUACAGGCAUGAGCCACACCUGACCUAACCCUUCCUGAAUUUUAAUAAAUUAUUUUAUAAUAUUAAAAUAAUAAUAAUAUCAAGCAUCUGCCCACUCGGCAAAGCUUGUUCCUAUUUGCAUACCCACCCAGUCACAGGCAUCCCUCAGGAGCACCUGUGCUGUGCGUGCCCAGCAGCUCCCUCAGGGUUAGCCAAGUGUGGUGACAAGGGCUCACCUCCUGGUGACUGAGGGCCUCUGUCUUGCUCAACAUCUGAGUCACACCCUUCCUCGGGCCUCUGGGGCAGGGCUGUGUCUCUAUUGCUUUCACAUUCUGUCACUCCAGACAAGCCUGGCUGCACCUCCAUCUGGUUAUCUGACUCGACUCAGCUGAGUCAGGCAGAGAGAGUCUGCGGGGAGGAGGGGGAGGCCGGAGAGGGGCUUCGCUCAUCAGCUGACACUGAGAUCCGGGAGUUCCAAGGCUCAAUUAGGUGUUCAGGGGUGUUCUUUAAAGGGUGGAAGUGGUCCCUUUACUUUGGACUUUUCCCUUAAAAUUUUUUUUCAGAUACAUACACAUGAUCAAAAACGUCAAGAAUGAGACCGGGCGUGGUGGCUCAUGCCUGUAAUCCAAGCAUCUUGGGACGCCGAGGCAGGAGGAUCACUUGAGCCUGGAGACCAGCCUGGACAAUACAGCAAUACCCCAUCUGUGCAAAAAACUAAAAAAUUAACUGGGCAUGGUGGUGCAUGCCUAUGGUCCCAACUACUCGGGAGGCUGAGGUGGGAGGAUCCCUUGAGCCAGGAAGGUCAAGGCUGCAGUGAGUUGUGAUCACAUCACUGCACUCCAACUUGGGUGACAGAGCAAGAUCCUGUCUCAAGAAAAAAAAAACAAUGUCAGCCAGGCAUGGUGGCUCACGCCUGUAAUCCCAGCACUUUGGGAGGCCAAGGCGGGCAGAUCACCUGAGGCCAGGAGUUCGAGACCAGCCUGACCAACAUAGAGAAACCCUGUCUCUACUAAAAAUACAAAAA
Molecule: long non-coding RNA, 2774 nt
Filed under: Macaca fascicularis (crab-eating macaque)
Lineage: Eukaryota; Metazoa; Chordata; Mammalia; Primates; Cercopithecidae
Description: lncRNA (ENSMFAG00000060492.1)
Source: RNAcentral